Molecule: long non-coding RNA, 1912 nt
Organism: Oxyura jamaicensis (ruddy duck)
Lineage: Eukaryota; Metazoa; Chordata; Aves; Anseriformes; Anatidae
Exons: 7
Source: RefSeq, a predicted model, not a curated record
UGGCUGUUCUCGAACGUGAGUAAAUGUCGUGCAGGGAGAGGGAGAGCCCCAGCACACUGCCAUCUCAGAGCCGCAGCCGGGAGAUGGACUGACAGAUUGCAAAUUAAAAGAGUCCCAAUGUCAGAACGGCCGCAGCCCCCGGCGCGCAGAGCCCGUUAGCGCCGAGCCCGGCACGGAGCGAGCGGGGCUGCGGCGGGGCCGGUCCUGCGCCGGAGCAGGGCUAGGCAGGGACAAUAAAGCCAGGCACGGGCAGAGAAAAUCGCAAGGUGGAGCUGAAUACAAUGCCUGCAUUUGUGGCUAACUACAAGCAAUACAUUAUGAAGAUGAUGGUAUUCAGACACACAUCCAAACAAUUUGAUUCAGACAAAUUGGAUACAAGACUUUGACCAGCAUAAGAAGAACAGGCAUUGUACAGACAGGCAGCAAUGCAGACCUGCUGGAGGAGCUCAGCAGGAGGAGAGCCCGUGCUGCACCAGCAACGUGGUCUGAACAGAGGUCUGUGGUGGUCCAGCUCAUUGGAAACUUUCAUGCUUAAAUCAGGAGGAUGCUAUAGUUGGAGCUAAUCUGUGAGCCGUGUUGGACUGGUGUUCGCACAGCCCGCAGGGUGCAACCACACACCCCGGCAGGACAGCUGGUUCUCUGCUGUGCAGUUGGUCCUUUCCCAACCAGGGUGUGAAGCUGAACAUCAAGAGCCAUCGCCCUCCUGCCCUUUGCACUGACCAUGCUGCCCUGCCAAUGUCAAGACUGAUGGGCUGUUGGGAAGAACUAAAUUCUGCCCCCACUACUUCUGCGUAUGCUGAUGAAACAAGAACCGACUAGGAAAAGAAACAAUUCUCCUACCUUUUUUUGCAUGAAGUGCAAUAGGAAGUAAAGAAUUCAGUGAAGAAUUCAGCGUGGCAGAGGGAUGGGAGCGUAGAGAUUUCUGAUACGGUUUGGAUACUGCCUGCCACCAUGUAAAAGAGAUCUCAUAAUAAAAGCGUUGAUCAAAGCUUACACCACAUAUUGAUUAUUUCAUUGGAAAGUCAAGAAAACAACUGUUGUCUGUUUUUUUUCAUGAAUAUAAAGCAGAGAUCUUGUGUGAGAGGAGAAAUGUUAAAAUAACGAAGCACCAGAAGGGGUUAAAAGGGAAGGCCUGGGUCUAGAGCAGAAGGAAGGUGCAAAAAGGUAAACAUUAAAAGAAAUUUCAUGAAGAAAUAUUUGUAUUCAAAAUCUAUGACCAUUAUGAUAUCAAAAUAACUACUGUUCAAUUCCAUGCUUACAGUAGCUUCAUAGUCAGAAAAAACUGCCAUCACUUGCAUCUCACUAUUAAAAUGCAUUCUAUACAAUUCAAAAUCCCCAAAGAAUAAAAAAUACCUGGAUUUCUGAUAUUUGGCUAUAUUGGAUUAGUAGAUGUAAGUUGCUGGGUUUUCCCAGAAAUAUUAUUUCAGAACGCUUGAAUAACACAGCUUUCAGACCAGGUGCCGAACAGUCCAUGCACUUGGGCUGUGUUUGUGACAUGGGUACGUGGUCACUGUGAGAUGCAUGCGUGGUGUUGCUGUUCACCUCCUGCAGCUGAACGUCAUGGCCCCAGUAAAGUCAACCCAGAGCCAGAACUUCAUCCCAGGCCGGGAGCAGCUGAUGGAGGGUGCCACAGGCUGGUGACCUGCAGCAAUUUCAGGUCAGUGAUGCAGAAGCAAAAAAAAUUCCUUGUCACAUAACUGCUGUAGUUCAGACUAUCCAAAUUUCACUUUGGAUUUUCUACUGCAUUCCCGUUCACAUCACAACUCUAUAGAUAAUGUGCUAAGGCAUCAUUCUUAAAAAAGAAAGAUUUAACUUUUUUAAAGAGAUGGGUGAUUUGUAGAAGACAUUUGUGUAAUUUUGUAUUCUAAAUGUGAUUUAUUUUUAUAAAUAAAUUUGCAUAAAAUCUCCAGCC